CCAAAAUUUUUUAUAAGUUGCUGGUUGCUACAGACAUAACUCAAUCUAACUCAGAGGGUACUCUGGUUUAACAACUUACAACGCACCUCAAAACUACCGGUAGUAGUUUUUCAAUCCCCGUAUGUCGUAGUUUGUUCAUACACAUUACACAUAUUACUACAUUCCUCUCCAAGCCAAAAGCGAAAAAGAAAUCUAUAAGUCUAGUCUUAAAUCUAUAAGUAAAGAGCAUCAAUGCCCCACAUGUGGCCGAGCGUCUAUGGGAGAGAUUUUCUCAAAUGGGCAUUCUGUUGGAGAUCUUAACAGAGAAGGGAACCAAGUUCAUGUCGAGUAUGCUGCCUGCAGGAACUCUACCGGAUGCUUGGAAUGAAGUCGAUCAUAGCCAGUCCCUAUCGUCCUCAGACAGACAGUUAGGUCGAGCGCGUUAACGGAACCCUCAAAGCAAGGCUACGACAGUCUAAGGACGGCGAUCGAGCCAACUGGGAUCAGUUGCUGCUUUCCUACUGUUUGCAUAUCGAGGUGGCAAAGGAGUUCACAGGAUUUUCUCCGUUCGAACUUCUAUUUGGAAGGAAGGUGAGAGGGCCUUUAGAUGUCAUGCAAGAACAAUAGGAGACCAAAAGAACAGCAAAUGAGGAGUGAUCUCGUAUGUAUGGAACAUGAGAGAGAGGAUGGCCUCACUGAGAAAAAUAGCGCAGGAAAGCUUGACUGUAGCUCAAGCAAAGCAGAAGUCUUGGUAUGACCAGAAAUCAAGGACUCUAUCAUUUGAGUAAGGUGAGCAAGUACUAGUACUGAUUCCGUCGACGACUUCAAAGCUACAAGUUGAGUGGCAGGGACCCUUUGUAGUGAAGCGGAGGGUACGUAUCAUCAGUGGAUUAUGAAAGAUCUAGAAAACACCCCUCUCUCUCGCUUGGGAUUGCAUGCAAACAAUGAUAGUCAAAUAUUUUGUGAUCUUUAGUGGCUUCCCUCGUCGAGGACGCGCACCUUUCUAGGAGCCUAAGACGGAGGAAGUUCUGAGAGAAGAAAGUUGCGCCCUAUUAGACAAAUAGCUUCUACAGUAUAUAGGCACAGAAUCGUGUUGUGUUCUCUAUAGAGGAAUGUAUUAUACAAUUGUAUUUCUCUAAUGCGGCGCCCUAUUAGAGAUAUACAUAUAUAAUAUAUGGCUAUUUCGUUGAAA
Corticium candelabrum is the source of this 1171-nucleotide long non-coding RNA. RefSeq lists it as uncharacterized. The transcript is spliced from 2 exons. The record is from RefSeq and is a predicted model, not a curated record. Lineage: Eukaryota; Metazoa; Porifera; Homoscleromorpha; Homosclerophorida; Plakinidae.